Molecule: long non-coding RNA, 402 nt
Organism: Vespa crabro (European hornet)
Lineage: Eukaryota; Metazoa; Arthropoda; Insecta; Hymenoptera; Vespidae
Exons: 3
Source: RefSeq, a predicted model, not a curated record
CAACUUGGUAUGAAAGUUAUGUCGCGUAAAAAUCGAUUUAUCCGCGUCAGAUCUCGAGCAUUGUUCUCGAGUUAGUAGGUGGGACGAGGAGGAACGAGAAGGGACCAGAGGGAAAGAGGAAACUCGCUAAGGAAUGGGAUUCCCUGUUUAACUACUUCGCUUGCUAUUGGCGCUGCCAGGCACCCAACGGCCAGCUUGGAAUACAAGAUCGUGUUUGAGAUGCUCAGCGUGCUGUUGCUGUUGCUGCUGCUGCUGCUGCUGCUGUUGCUGCUGCUGCUGCUGCUGCUGCUGCUGUUGCUUCUGUUACUACUUCAGCUGCUAACGCUGGAUAGUUGUUGGAUCCGGAAAGGAAAACUCACAAAAAGAAAAGAACUUUAUUCGAUUGUAUCGUGACUCCCAGAG